AAAAAGUGGGAGCAAAUGAAAAUUCUUAAAUUGAAGACCCUUCUUUUGUGCCACGUCCGUUGGAAAAUUCUUUUGUUCCACCAUGCAGCAAGCAGCACAACUCAAGAAUUGACGAGAGAGAGCGAGAUUAAUGGCUGAGUUUGCUUUAAGAUGUCAAUGGGUGGUGUGGUUGGUAAUACUGGCCCAAGUUCAUGCGUCGAGCUCUUCAUCGGAUUUAAGGGGCACUGAAAUCGGACGCGGAUUCAUGGUCACGAACGAGAGCAAAAUCAUCGAUUUGGAGCAGGGAUGGGAAUUUGUGCAAAAGGGUAUCAUAAAAUUGGAGAACAUUCUGGAGGGACUUUCAGACACGACCUUCUCUUCAGAAGAGUACAUGGCGCUCUAUGAGUAGGGACAUUUUCCCCGUGCUUUGGUUCGGAAUUUGCUCGUCUCAUGCAAGGGAGGAGGCAUUGGUUUCUCUAUAUUGGAAACCUCGUUGAAAUCUUUGCUUGUCUUGUCUGUGGUACAAUCUAUCGUAUGUGAACUCAGGAACCUCCUCACGACUAUUCUCAACAGCUUUAUGACAGAUAUAAGGAAGUUUAUGAAGAGUACAUUACCUCAAAGGUGAUACCAUCUCUGAAAGAGAAGCAUGGUGAGUUGAUGCUGACGGAGCUUGUAAAAAGGUGGUCAAAUCACAAGCUCAUGGUCUAUUGGCUUUCUCGAUUAUUUCAUUAUCUUGAUCGCUACUUCAUUCCUAGAAGAUCACUUCCACCACUCAAUAAAGUUGGCCUCACAAGCUUCCAUGAUCUGAUAGAAAAAGAGCCUGAAGGAGACCAGAUUGACAGGGUUUUGUUAAAAAAAUUUGUGAAUAUUUUUGAGGAACUUGGGAUGGGCAGUGAUUCAUAUAUGGCCGGCUUUGAAGAUGCAGUGAUUAGCAAGGCUGUUGCUUACUGUUCCAGGAAGGCUUCCAAUUGGACCUUGGAGUAUUCUCAUUCAGAUUACAUUAUGAAAGUUACAUUCUUGAAGUUUCACCCAGUGAUUGCAUGUCCCCAUAUGCAUAUUGUUAGUUUAAGAAGCAGCUGUCAAUUAUGUUUGCAGGCUGAAGACUGCUUGAAACAGGAAACGAGAGCCAAAUAUGAUCUUUGAGGAAGCAGUGUCCAGAAGCUACUGGAUUGGAACUUCCGCCACUCUCUUUCUGCAAGUUAGAUUCCUUAGAAGGAAAAUUCUGGAUGCCAUGCUUUACCUGGAGACGGCAAGGUGAUGCUGAAGCAUGUUAUAUAAUGAAGCACCUUUUCUAGCGAGGCAUGUAUAAAACCUGCUUAUUCUAAAGGAGGGAAAAUCUCCUAAAGAUGUUUCAACUUUCAACAUAUCCUUCCUAGUUGAGUGUAUAUUAAUAAUUUUCAAUAGUUCAGUAUUUUAAAUAAUUCAGCAUCUUAUGGCUGAUUGAUUUUGCUGGAAAAGCAGGAAGCUAAUUCUGCAGUCAAUGAUAAUGUAUUGAACCAUGAUUGGUAAUUUUUUC
This is a long non-coding RNA of Nymphaea colorata (pocket water lily), 1495 nucleotides long. RefSeq lists it as uncharacterized. The record is from RefSeq and is a predicted model, not a curated record. The transcript has 5 exons. Lineage: Eukaryota; Viridiplantae; Streptophyta; Magnoliopsida; Nymphaeales; Nymphaeaceae.